AUACAUACUUGGCAAGGGAGGUACCAUAAUCAUGAAGAUGGAUUUCCUGGGAUGAGGCUCGUGUGUCCCUGCAGUUUCCCCAAAUGCUGUUGACUUGACUGCAGAAUCUGUGGCAGUGGUAGACUGCACUUGCACUUCCCCU
RNAcentral lists this small nuclear RNA (142 nucleotides) under Podarcis muralis (Common wall lizard). Its description in RNAcentral is "U1 spliceosomal RNA (ENSPMRG00000005510.1)". It matches the Rfam family "U1 spliceosomal RNA". Rfam says of the family: U1 is a small nuclear RNA (snRNA) component of the spliceosome (involved in pre-mRNA splicing). The record is from RNAcentral. Lineage: Eukaryota; Metazoa; Chordata; Lepidosauria; Squamata; Lacertidae.